ACAUGCAAGUCGAACGCGAAGGGACUUCGGUCCUGAGUAAAGUGGCGGCACGGGUGAGUAACGCGUAGAUAACCUGUCUUCAUGUCUGGAAUAAUACGCCGAAAGGGGUACUAAUACCGGAUAUUCUUGCUUUUCAUAAGUUAUGCAAGCAAAGGUGGCCUCUGCAUAUGCUACUGCAUGAAGAGGGGUCUGCGUACCAUUAGCUAGUAGGUGGGGUAAUGGCCUACCUAGGCGACGAUGGUUAGCGGGUCUGAGAGGAUGAUCCGCCACACUGGCACUGGAACACGGGCCAGACUCCUACGGGAGGCAGCAGUGAGGAAUAUUGCGCAAUGGGGGAAACCCUGACGCAGCGACGCCGCGUGAGUGAAGGAAGGCCUUCGGGUCGUAAAGCUCUGUCAAGAGGAAAGAAGUGUACAAUGGCUAAUACCUGUUGUAUUUGACGGUACCUCUAAAGGAAGCACCGGCUAACUCCGUGCCAGCAGCGGC
This 486-nucleotide ribosomal RNA is filed under the name uncultured bacterium. RNAcentral's name for it is "bacterial SSU rRNA". It matches the Rfam family "Bacterial small subunit ribosomal RNA", at positions 53 to 518 of the family's 1533-position model. The record is from RNAcentral.